GUCCAGUUGUGUGCUUUGUAUGCUUCCAUCGCUGAGCUCCAUUGAAAACAGUUUCUCCAUGCAAACCAGGAAGUGUCUACUCCAGACAACGUAAUGACUCCUCUUUUCUUAUCUCUACAGCUGUGAUCUGUUGAGUGACGCGGAUGUCAUUGGGCAGUUGAAUGUGCAUGU
Podarcis muralis (Common wall lizard) is the source of this 171-nucleotide non-coding RNA. The record is from RefSeq and is a predicted model, not a curated record. Lineage: Eukaryota; Metazoa; Chordata; Lepidosauria; Squamata; Lacertidae.